CGAACGCUGGCGGCAUGCCUAACACAUGCAAGUCGAACGAGACCUUCGGGUCUAGUGGCGCCCGGGUGCGUAACGCGUGGGAACCUGCCCUUAGGUUCGGAAUAACUCCCCGAAAGGGGUGCUAAUACCGGAUAAUGUCUUCGGACCAAAGAUUUAUCGCCUUUGGAUGGGCCCGCGUUGGAUUAGCUAGUUGGUAGGGUAAAAGCCUACCAAGGCGACGAUCCAUAGCUGGUCUGAGAGGAUGAUCAGCCACACUGGGACUGAGACACGGCCCAGACUCCUACGGGAGGCAGCAGUGGGGAAUAUUGGACAAUGGGCGAAAGCCUGAUCCAGCAAUGCCGCGUGAGUGAUGAAGGCCUUAGGGUUGUAAAGCUCUUUUACCCGGGAUGAUAAUGACAGUACCGGGAGAAUAAGCGCCGGCUAACUCCGUG
This 431-nucleotide ribosomal RNA is filed under the name uncultured bacterium. RNAcentral's name for it is "partial 16S ribosomal RNA". It matches the Rfam family "Bacterial small subunit ribosomal RNA", at positions 30 to 507 of the family's 1533-position model. The record is from RNAcentral.